This 432-nucleotide unclassified non-coding RNA is filed under the name soil metagenome. Its description in RNAcentral is "partial contains 5.8S ribosomal RNA, internal transcribed spacer 2, and large subunit ribosomal RNA". The stretch from base 2 to 119 matches the Rfam family "5.8S ribosomal RNA", at positions 37 to 154 of the family's 154-position model. The record is from RNAcentral.
GUGAAGAACGUAGCGAAAUGCGAUACGUAAUGUGAAUUGCAGAAUUCAGUGAAUCAUCGAAUCUUUGAACGCAUAUUGCGCUCUUUGGUAUUCCGAAGAGCAUGCUUGUUUGAGUAUCAGUAAACACCUCAAAGCUUUUGGAUUUUUUAAUCGAAAAGCUUUGGACUUGAGCAAUCCCAACACCAAUCUUUUUGAGAUCGGUGGCGGGUUGCUUGAAAUGCAGGUGCAGCUGGACAUUCUCCUGAGCUAAAAGCAUAUUCAUUUAGUCCCGUCAAACGGAUUAUUACUUUUGCUGCAGCUAACAUAAAGGGAGUUUGACCGUAUUGGCUGACUGAUGCAGGAUUUCACAAGGGUCGGCAACGAUUCUUGUUAAACUCGAUCUCAAAUCAAGUAAGACUACCCGCUGAACUUAAGCAUACAAUAAGCGGAGGA